This 1036-nucleotide long non-coding RNA is filed under the name Rosa chinensis. RNAcentral's name for it is "sRNA RchiOBHm_Chr4g0397381". Lineage: Eukaryota; Viridiplantae; Streptophyta; Magnoliopsida; Rosales; Rosaceae. The record is from RNAcentral.
UCCUAUUCUCUUCCUCUCUCCUCUCUUGGCCGCGUCCCUCUCUCUCUCCCCGUCCCCUAUCCUUUUCUUCUUCUUCCCUCUGCAAUCACCGGAGAACACCAUCUCUGGCCACCAUACAACGUCACUGCCACCCCCAAUCGACACAGCACCUAAACCCAACCAAAGCCCAAGCCUCACCAUCGACAUGCACUGCCGGCAGCCUCCAUAAGCGACAACCCAAGGGUGCGAUGCCAAUGUUCCUCGACCCUCGCCGGUUUCGGGUGAUUUCCUUGCCCUUUCGCCACCGUCAUUCUACUCAGCAAGCAAAGCGAAGCAAAACCCAGAAACUCCUCUUUGCCGCUGACGCCUGACGAUACCGUUCAAGCAUCACCAGAGGUCUCAACUCUGCAUGCCUUCGAUCUCCAAUUUCCAACUCGAAUUGAGCUCAACGACUUCCCUAAUCGGAAUCAGAGCCUUGUCAACCACCAAAACCCCAUAGUUUCAAUCUCUGGUUCCAACCAGAGACGCCGCACCCGCCACCACUGGUGCAUGGACCACCGUAGCUCCGCCUUUCACGGUUGCCGGAUUUUCAGGACUUCUCGGUUAGGUUUGUGGAAUCUGCGUUUUUGAAGAUUUUGGAGAAGAAGGAAUUGUUGGGUCAGUUUAGAUUUGAAUCGGAAAUGGUGUUAAAACGAUUGUGGUGGUGACUUGUUGCAUUGAAGAAUUGAUCUCUGAAUCUGAAAAGAAGAAUGAUAAGGGUCUGGGCACUUGAAACUAUCUUGCCGUAUAUUGCAUGUACUUGGUGAAGUUCUAUUUUUGUAGAACGUUCGAAAUGAAAGUGGUAGGUGUUGUUUGAAUGGUGUAGGAAACUUUGCAUGAUAGUGGAAAAGGAUGAAAUCAGUUUAGUAUAGAGGAAAUUGGUCUUGUGAAUUAGCAAAAAUUCGUUAUCAACAUUGAAAUGUAAAAUAAGAAUGUCUAUAACUAUCAUUUCGGAUACCACGGUUGUAAGAAAGAAGUGAGUUGGUUAUUGUUAACGAAAAUGUAAAUUGCUCAAGUU